This 440-nucleotide ribosomal RNA is filed under the name uncultured bacterium. RNAcentral describes it as "partial 16S ribosomal RNA". It matches the Rfam family "Bacterial small subunit ribosomal RNA", at positions 338 to 795 of the family's 1533-position model. The record is from RNAcentral.
CCUACGGGAGGCAGCAGUGGGGAAUAUUGCACAAUGGGGGAAACCCUGAUGCAGCGAAGCCGCGUGAGUGAAGAAGUAUUUCGGUAUGUAAAGCUCUAUCAGCAGGGAAGCAAAUGACGGUACCUGAUUAAGAAGCCCCGGCUAACUACGUGCCAGCAGCCGCGGUAAUACGUAGGGGGCAAGCGUUAUCCGGAUUUACUGGGUGUAAAGCGAGCGUAGGCGGCAGCGCAAGUCUGAAGUGAAAUGCCGGGGCUUAACCCCGGAACUGCUUUGGAAACUGUGCAGCUAGAGUGCAGGAGAGGUAAGCGGAAUGCGUGGUGUAGCGGUGAAAUGCGUAGAUAUUACGAGGAACACCAGUGGCGAAGGCAGCUUACUGGAGCGUAACUGACGUUGAGGCACGAAAGCGUGGGGAGCGAACAGGAUUAGAUACCCGUGUAGUC